UACGGAGGGUGCAAGCGUUAAUCGGAAUUACUGGGCGUAAAGCGUGCGCAGGCGGUUUGUUAAGUCCGCUGUGAAAUCCCCGGGCUCAACCCGGGAACUGCGUCCGAUACUGGCAGGCUUGAAUCCGGGAGAGGGAUGCGGAAUUCCAGGUGUAGCGGUGAAAUGCGUAGAUAUCUGGAGGAACACCGGUGGCGAAGGCGGCAUCCUGGACCGGCAUUGACGCUGAGGCGCGAAAGCCAGGGGAGCAAACGGG
RNAcentral lists this ribosomal RNA (253 nucleotides) under uncultured bacterium. Its description in RNAcentral is "partial 16S ribosomal RNA". It matches the Rfam family "Bacterial small subunit ribosomal RNA", at positions 524 to 776 of the family's 1533-position model. The record is from RNAcentral.